Molecule: ribosomal RNA, 253 nt
Filed under: uncultured bacterium
Lineage: Bacteria
Description: partial 16S ribosomal RNA
Rfam family: Bacterial small subunit ribosomal RNA
Source: RNAcentral
UACAGAGGGUGCGAGCGUUGUCCGGAAUCACUGGGCGUAAAGGGCGCGUAGGUGGCGUCGCAAGUCCGUGGUGAAAGCUCGUCGCUCAACGGCGAGUCGGCCACGGAUACUGCGAGGCUCGAGCACUGUAGAGGCAGAUGGAAUUCCGGGUGUAGUGGUGGAAUGCGUAGAGAUCCGGAAGAACACCGGUGGCGAAGGCGGUCUGCUGGGCAGUAGCUGACACUGAGGCGCGACAGCGUGGGGAGCAAACAGG